GCCGCGAUCGCAUAAUUUGGUAUUGCACCGGCCUUGAAAGCCGGGCCCUUUGGGCAUCCAGGUUCAAAUCCUGGUUGCGGCG
RNAcentral lists this transfer RNA (82 nucleotides) under Candidatus Woesearchaeota archaeon. RNAcentral's name for it is "tRNA-Ser". It matches the Rfam family "tRNA". From Rfam's summary of the family: Transfer RNA (tRNA) molecules are approximately 80 nucleotides in length. Their secondary structure includes four short double-helical elements and three loops (D, anti-codon, and T loops). Lineage: Archaea; Nanobdellati; Candidatus Woesearchaeota. The record is from RNAcentral.